Molecule: ribosomal RNA, 501 nt
Filed under: uncultured bacterium
Lineage: Bacteria
Description: partial 16S ribosomal RNA
Rfam family: Bacterial small subunit ribosomal RNA
Source: RNAcentral
ACGAACGCUGGCGGCGUGCUUAACACAUGCAAGUCGAACGGUGAAGGGGUCUGCUUUUGUGGGCCCUGGAUGAGUGGCGAACGGGUGAGUAACACGUGAGUAACCUGCCCCCUUCUUCUGGAUAACCGCAUGAAAGGGUGGCUAAUACGGGAUAUUCUGGGUCUGUCGCAUGAUGGGUCUGGGAAAGAUUGCGCCUUUGGGUGUUUUUGGUGGGGGAUGGGCUCGCGGCCUAUCAGCUUGUUGGUGGGGUGAUGGCCUACCAAGGCGGUGACGGGUAGCCGGCCUGAGAGGGUGGACGGUCACACUGGGACUGAGACACGGCCCAGACUCCUACGGGAGGCAGCAGUGGGGAAUAUUGCACAAUGGGCGCAAGCCUGAUGCAGCGACGCCGCGUGAGGGAUGGAGGCCUUCGGGUUGUAAACCUCUUUCGCCAGUGAAGCAGGCCUGCUCCUUGUGGGUGGGUUGACGGUAGCUGGAUAAGAAGCGCCGGCUAACUACGUG